This 78-nucleotide transfer RNA is filed under the name Thermoproteus uzoniensis 768-20. RNAcentral's name for it is "tRNA-Arg (CCT) (tRNA-Arg-CCT-1-1)". It matches the Rfam family "tRNA". From Rfam's summary of the family: Transfer RNA (tRNA) molecules are approximately 80 nucleotides in length. Their secondary structure includes four short double-helical elements and three loops (D, anti-codon, and T loops). The record is from RNAcentral. Lineage: Archaea; Thermoproteati; Thermoproteota; Thermoprotei; Thermoproteales; Thermoproteaceae. RNAcentral also lists the same sequence under 1 other name.
GGGCCCGUAGCUCAGCAUGGAUAGAGCGGCGGCCUCCUAAGCCGUAGGUCGUGGGUUCGAAUCCCACCGGGCCCGCCA